Molecule: ribosomal RNA, 471 nt
Filed under: uncultured Anaerolineaceae bacterium
Lineage: Bacteria; Bacillati; Chloroflexota; Anaerolineae; Anaerolineales; Anaerolineaceae
Description: bacterial SSU rRNA
Rfam family: Bacterial small subunit ribosomal RNA
Source: RNAcentral
AAACUCAAAGGAAUUGACGGGGACCCGCACAAGCAGCGGAGCGUGUGGUUUAAUUCGUUGCUACACGAAGAACCUUACCUGGGUUUGACAUAUAGGUUGUAGGGAACUGAAAAGGGACCGACCCUUCGGGGGCCUAUACAGGUGUUGCAUGGCUGUCGUCAGCUCGUGUCGUGAGAUGUUCGGUUAAGUCCGCUAACGAGCGCAACCCUCGUCGUAUGUUAUAUGUGUCAUACGAGACUGCCGGUAAAAAGCCGGAGGAAGGUGAGGAUGAUGUCAAGUCAGCAUGACCUUUAUAUCCAGGGCUACACACACGCUACAAUGGUCUGUACAAUGGGUAGCCAAGCCGCGAGGCGGAGCCAAUCCUGAAAGCAGGCCUCAGUUCAGAUUGCAGUCUGCAACUCGACUGCAUGAAGCCGGAGUUGCUAGUAACCGCAGGUCAGCAAUACUGCGGUGAAUACGUUCCCGGGUCUU